RNAcentral lists this ribosomal RNA (310 nucleotides) under uncultured bacterium. Its description in RNAcentral is "bacterial SSU rRNA". It matches the Rfam family "Bacterial small subunit ribosomal RNA", at positions 28 to 334 of the family's 1533-position model. The record is from RNAcentral.
GACGAACGCUGGCGGCGCGCCUAACACAUGCAAGUCGAACGGGGUGAUUUCCUUCGGGAGAUUCGCUUAGUGGCGAACGGGUGAGUAACGCGUGAGGAACCUGCCUUUCAGUGGGGGGACAACAGUUGGAAACGACUGCUAAUACCGCAUAAUGUAGCGAGACCGCAUGAUCUUGCUACCAAAGCUUUAUGUGCUGAAAGAUGGCCUCGCGUCUGAUUAGAUAGAUGGUGGGGUAACGGCCUACCAUGCCGACGAUCGGUAGCCGGACUGAGAGGUUGAUCGGCCACAUUGGGACUGAGACACGGCCCAG